RNAcentral lists this transfer RNA (69 nucleotides) under Eopsetta jordani (Petrale sole). Its description in RNAcentral is "tRNA-Asp". The record is from RNAcentral. Lineage: Eukaryota; Metazoa; Chordata; Actinopteri; Pleuronectiformes; Pleuronectidae.
AAGACUCUAGUAAAAAAAUUACUCUGCCUUGUCAAGGCCGCAUUGCAAGUUAAACUCUUGCGUGUCUUU